RNAcentral lists this ribosomal RNA (292 nucleotides) under uncultured bacterium. Its description in RNAcentral is "partial 16S ribosomal RNA". It matches the Rfam family "Bacterial small subunit ribosomal RNA", at positions 505 to 796 of the family's 1533-position model. The record is from RNAcentral.
GUGUCAGCAGCCGCGGUAAGACGAACCGAGCGAACGUUGUUCGGAAUCACUGGGCUUAAAGGGCGCGUAGGCGGGUGCUCAAGUCUGUGGUGAAAUCCUCCGGCUCAACCGGAGAACUGCCAUGGAUACUGGGUGUCUCGAGGGUGGUAGGGGUAUGCGGAACUAUCGGUGGAGCGGUGAAAUGCGUUGAUAUCGAUAGGAACUCCGGUGGCGAAGGCGGCAUACUGGACCACAUCUGACGCUGAGGCGCGAAAGCCAGGGGAGCGAACGGGAUUAGAAACCCGUGUAGUCC